Molecule: ribosomal RNA, 801 nt
Filed under: uncultured bacterium
Lineage: Bacteria
Description: bacterial SSU rRNA
Rfam family: Bacterial small subunit ribosomal RNA
Source: RNAcentral
CAUGCAAGUCGAACGGUAAAUGGUAGCAAUACUAUGAGAGUGGCGUACGGGUGCGUAACGCGUACACAACCUGCCUUGUACUGGGGGAUAGCCUCGGGAAACUGAGAUUAAUACCCCAUAAUUUUACGAUAUGGCAUCAUAUUGUAAUUAAAGCUCCGGCGGUACAAGAUGGGUGUGCGUCCGAUUAGGUAGUUGGUGAGGUAACGGCUCACCAAGCCGACGAUCGGUAGCUGGUCUGAGAGGACGAUCAGCCACACGGGCACUGAGACACGGGCCCGACUCCUACGGGAGGCAGCAGUAGGGAAUAUUGGACAAUGGACGCAAGUCUGAUCCAGCCAUCCCGCGUGAAGGAUUAAGGCCCUCUGGGUUGUAAACUUCUUUUCUUUGGGAAUAAAAAGCGGUAUUCAUAUCGCCUUGAAGGUACCAGAGGAAUAAGCACCGGCUAACUCCGUGCCAGCAGCCGCGGUAAUACGGAGGGUGCAAGCGUUAUCCGGAUUCACUGGGUUUAAAGGGUGCGUAGGUGGUCUGUUAAGUCAGCGGUGAAAGCCUGGAGCUCAACUCCAGAAUUGCCAUUGAUACUGACGGACUUGAAUCAAGUUGAGGUGGAUGGAAUAUUACAUGUAGCGGUGAAAUGCUUAGAUAUGUAAUAGAACACCAAUUGCGAAGGCAGUUCACUAAGCUUGCAUUGACACUGAGGCACGAAAGCGUGGGGAUCAAACAGGAUUAGAUACCCUGGUAGUCCACGCCCUAAACGAUGCAAACUCGACAUUAGCGAUAUACAGUUAGUGUCCAAGCGAAAGC